Molecule: non-coding RNA, 29 nt
Filed under: Rattus norvegicus (Norway rat)
Lineage: Eukaryota; Metazoa; Chordata; Mammalia; Rodentia; Muridae
Source: RNAcentral
UGCUUAAGGAGUAAAAUGUGAGUAAAAUA